RNAcentral lists this transfer RNA (91 nucleotides) under Clostridiales bacterium GWB2_37_7. Its description in RNAcentral is "tRNA-Ser". It matches the Rfam family "tRNA". Rfam says of the family: Transfer RNA (tRNA) molecules are approximately 80 nucleotides in length. Their secondary structure includes four short double-helical elements and three loops (D, anti-codon, and T loops). The record is from RNAcentral. Lineage: Bacteria; Bacillati; Bacillota; Clostridia; Eubacteriales.
GGAGAAGUACUCAAGAGGCCGAAGAGGCGCCCCUGCUAAGGGCGUAGGCUGGGAAACUGGCGCGAGGGUUCAAAUCCCUCCUUCUCCGCCA